GAUGAACGCUGGCGGCGUGCCUAAUACAUGCAAGUCGAGCGAACAGACGAGAGUGCUUGCACUCUCUGACGUUAGCGGCGGACGGGUGAGUAACACGUGGGUAACCUACCUAUAAGACUGGGAUAACUUCGGGAAACCGGAGCAAAUACCGGAUAAUAUUUAGCUUCGCAUGAAGCAAUAGUGAAAGACGGUUCUGCUGUCACUUAUAGAUGGACCCGCGGUGUAUUAGCUAGUUGGUGAGGUAACGGCUCACCAAGGCAACGAUACAUAGCCGACCUGAGAGGGUGAUCGGCCACACUGGGACUGAGACACGGCCCAGACUCCUACGGGAGGCAGCAGUAGGGAAUCUUCCGCAAUGGACGAAAGUCUGACGGAGCAAUGCCGCGUGAGUGAAGAAGGUUUUCGGAUCGUAAAACUCUGUUGUAAGGGAAGAACAAGUACGUUAGUAACUGAACGUACCUUGACGGUACCUUACCAGAAAGCCACGGCUAACUACGUG
This 499-nucleotide ribosomal RNA is filed under the name uncultured bacterium. Its description in RNAcentral is "partial 16S ribosomal RNA". It matches the Rfam family "Bacterial small subunit ribosomal RNA", at positions 28 to 507 of the family's 1533-position model. The record is from RNAcentral.